CAAUAGCGUAUAUUAAAGUUGUUGCGGUUAAAAAGCUCGUAGUUGGAUUUCUGCUGAAGGCAGCCGGUCCAUGUUCGACAUGCGCAUCUGGAUUGACUUCGGCAUCCUCUCAGAUAACGAUUCUGUGCUUGAUUGCAUGGAGCGGAGUUUGAGACUUUUACUUUGAGGAAAAUAGAGUGUUCACGGCAGGCAAUCGCCCUGAAUAUAUUAGCAUGGAAUAAUAAAAUAGGAUCUUGGUUCUAUUUUGUUGGUUUCUAGAACGAAGAUAAUGAUUAAUAGGGACAAUUGGGGGCAUUCGUAUUAACGCGUCAGAGGUGGAAUUCUUGGAUUGCGUUACGACGAACUACUGCGAANGNAUUUGCNAAGGAUGUUUNCAUUG
Molecule: ribosomal RNA, 379 nt
Filed under: uncultured eukaryote
Lineage: Eukaryota
Description: partial 18S ribosomal RNA
Rfam family: Eukaryotic small subunit ribosomal RNA
Source: RNAcentral